CCUUCAGUUCUUAAAGCGCUGCAAUUCGCUGCUGCAGCCAUAUUUCUUACUCUCUCGGGGCUGGAAGCUUCCUGACUGAAGAUCUCUCUGCACUUGGGGUUCUUUCUAGAACAUUUUCUAGUCCCCCAACACCCUUUAUGGCGUAUUUCUUUAAAAAAAUCACCUAAAUUCCAUAAAAUAUUUUUUUAAAUUCUAUACUUUCUCCUAGUGUCUUCUUGACACGUCCUCCAUAUUUUUUUAAAGAAAGUAUUUGGAAUAUUUUGAGGCAAUUUUUAAUAUUUAAGGAAUUUUUCUUUGGAAUCAUUUUUGGUUGACAUCUCUGUUUUUUGUGGAUCAGUUUUUUACUCUUCCACUCUCUUUUCUAUAUUUUGCCCAUCGGGGCUGCGGAUACCUGGUUUUAUUAUUUUUUCUUUGCCCAACGGGGCCGUGGAUACCUGCCUUUUAAUUCUUUUUUAUUCGCCCAUCGGGGCCGCGGAUACCUGCUUUUUAUUUUUUUUUCCUUAGCCCAUCGGGGUAUCGGAUACCUGCUGAUUCCCUUCCCCUCUGAACCCCCAACACUCUGGCCCAUCGGGGUGACGGAUAUCUGCUUUUUAAAAAUUUUCUUUUUUUGGCCCAUCGGGGCUUCGGAUACCUGCUUUUUUUUUUUUUAUUUUUCCUUGCCCAUCGGGGCCUCGGAUACCUGCUUUAAUUUUUGUUUUUCUGGCCCAUCGGGGCCGCGGAUACCUGCUUUGAUUUUUUUUUUUCAUCGCCCAUCGGUGCUUUUUAUGGAUGAAAAAAUGUUGGUUUUGUGGGUUGUUGCACUCUCUGGAAUAUCUACACUUUUUUUUGCUGCUGAUCAUUUGGUGGUGUGUGAGUGUACCUACCGCUUUGGCAGAGAAUGACUCUGCAGUUAAGCUAAGGGCGUGUUCAGAUUGUGGAGGAAAAGUGGCCGCCAUUUUAGACUUGCCGCAUAACUCGGCUUAGGGCUAGUCGUUUGUGCUAAGUUAAACUAGGGAGGCAAGAUGGAUGAUAGCAGGUCAGGCAGAGGAAGUCAUGUGCAUUGCAUGAGCUAAACCUAUCUGAAUGAAUUGAUUUGGGGCUUGUUAGGAGCUUUGCGUGAUUGUUGUAUCGGGAGGCAGUAAGAAUCAUCUUUUAUCAGUACAAGGGACUAGUUAAAAAUGGAAGGUUAGGAAAGACUAAGGUGCAGGGCUUAAAAUGGCGAUUUUGACAUUGCGGCAUUGCUCAGCAUGGCGGGCUGUGCUUUGUUAGGUUGUCCAAAAUGGCGGAUCCAGUUCUGUCGCAGUGUUCAAGUGGCGGGAAGGCCACAUCAUGAUGGGCGAGGCUUUGUUAAGUGGUUAGCAUGGUGGUGGACAUGUGCGGUCACACAGGAAAAGAUGGCGGCUGAAGGUCUUGCCGCAGUGUAAAACAUGGCGGGCCUCUUUGUCUUUGCUGUGUGCUUUUCGUGUUGGGUUUUGCCGCAGGGACAAUAUGGCAGGCGUUGUCAUAUGUAUAUCAUGGCUUUUGUCACGUGGACAUCAUGGCGGGCUUGCCGCAUUGUUAAAGAUGGCGGGUUUUGCCGCCUAGUGCCACGCAGAGCGGGAGAAAAGGUGGGAUGGACAGUGCUGGAUUGCUGCAUAACCCAACCAAUUAGAAAUGGGGGUGGAAUUGAUCACAGCCAAUUAGAGCAGAAGAUGGAAUUAGACUGAUGACACACUGUCCAGCUACUCAGCGAAGACCUGGGUGAAUUAGCAUGGCACUUCGCAGCUGUCUUUAGCCAGUCAGGAGAAAGAAGUGGAGGGGCCACGUGUAUGUCUCCCAGUGGGCGGUACACCAGGUGUUUUCAAGGUCUUUUCAAGGACAUUUAGCCUUUCCACCUCUGUCCCCUCUUAUUUGUCCCCUCCUGUCCAGUGCUGCCUCUUGCAGUGCUGGAUAUCUGGCUGUGUGGUCUGAACCUCCCUCCAUUCCUCUGUAUUGGUGCCUCACCUAAGGCUAAGUAUACCUCCCCCCCCACCCCCCAACCCCCCCAACUCCCCACCCCCACCCCCCACCCCCCACCUCCCCACCCCCCUACCCCCCUACCCCCCUACCCCCCUCUGGUCUGCCCUGCACUGCACUGUUGCCAUGGGCAGUGCUCCAGGCCUGCUUGGUGUGGACAUGGUGGUGAGCCGUGGCAAGGACCAGAAUGGAUCACAGAUGAUCGUUGGCCAACAGGUGGCAGAAGAGGAAUUCCUGCCUUCCUCAAGAGGAACACCUACCCCUUGGCUAAUGCUGGGGUCGGAUUUUGAUUUAUAUUUAUCUUUUGGAUGUCAGUCAUACAGUCUGAUUUUGUGGUUUGCUAGUGUUUGAAUUUAAGUCUUAAGUGACUAUUAUAGAAAUGUAUUAAGAGGCUUUAUUUGUAGAAUUCACUUUAAUUACAUUUAAUGAGUUUUUGUUUUGAGUUCCUUAAAAUUCCUUAAAGUUUUUAGCUUCUCAUUACAAAUUCCUUAACCUUUUUUUGGCAGUAGAUAGUCAAAGUCAAAUCAUUUCUAAUGUUUUAAAAAUGUGCUGGUCAUUUUCUUUGAAAUUGACUUAACUAUUUUCCUUUGAAGAGUCUGUAGCACAGAAACAGUAAAAAAUUUAACUUCAUGACCUAAUGUAAAAAAGAGUGUUUGAAGGUUUACACAGGUCCAGGCCUUGCUUUGUUCCCAUCCUUGAUGCUGCACUAAUUGACUAAUCACCUACUUAUCAGACAGGAAACUUGAAUUGCUGUGGUCUGGUGUCCUCUAUUCAGACUUAUUAUAUUGGAGUAUUUCAAUUUUUCGUUGUAUCCUGCCUGCCUAGCAUCCAGUUCCUCCCCAGCCCUGCUCCCAGCAAACCCCUAGUCUAGCCCCAGCCCUACUCCCACCCCGCCCCAGCCCUGCCCCAGCCCCAGUCCCCUAACCCCCCAGCCCUAGCCCCAGUCCCAGUCCUAGUUCCUCAGUCCCGCCCAGCUUCUCUCGAAAGUCACUCUAAUUUUCAUUGAUUCAGUGCUCAAAAUAAGUUGUCCAUUGCUUAUCCUAUUAUACUGGGAUAUUCCGUUUACCCUUGGCAUUGCUGAUCUUCAGUACUGACUCCUUGACCAUUUUCAGUUAAUGCAUACAAUCCCAUUUGUCUGUGAUCUCAGGACAAAGAAUUUCCUUACUCGGUACGUUGAAGUUAGGGAAUGUCAAUUGAGAGCUUUCUAUCAGAGCAUUAUUGCCCACAAUUUGAGUUACUUAUCAUUUUCUCGAUCCCCUGCCCUUAAAGGAGAAACCAUUUCUCUGUCAUUGCUUCUGUAGUCACAGUCCCAAUUUUGAGUAGUGAUCUUUUCUUGUGUACUGUGUUGGCCACCUAAAACUCUUUGCAUUGAGUAAAAUUCUAAUUGCCAAUAAUCCUACCCAUUGGAUUAGACAGCACUCUGAACCCCAUUUGCAUUCAGCAGGGGGUCGCAGACAACCCGUCUUUUGUUGGACAGUUAAAAUGCUCAGUCCCAAUUGUCAUAGCUUUGCCUAUUAAACAAAGGCACCCUACUGCGCUUUUUGCUGUGCUUCUGGAGAAUCCUGCUGUUCUUGGACAAUUAAAGAACAAAGUAGUAAUUGCUAAUUGUCUCACCCAUUAAUCAUGAAGACUACCAGUCGCCCUUGCAUUUGCCUUGAGGCAGCGCUGACUACCUGAGAUUUAAGAGUUUCUUAAAUUAUUGAGUAAAAUCCCAAUUAUCCAUAGUUCUGUUAGUUACACUAUGGCCUUUGCAAACAUCUUUGCAUAACAGCAGUGGGACUGACUCAUUCUUAGAGCCCCUUCCCUUGGAAUAUUAAUGGAUACAAUAGUAAUUAUUCAUGGUUCUGCGUAACAGAGAAGACCCACUUAUGUGUAUGCCUUUAUCAUUGCUCCUAGAUAGUGUGAACUACCUACCACCUUGCAUUAAUAUGUAAAACACUAAUUGCCCAUAGUCCCACUCAUUAGUCUAGGAUGUCCUCUUUGCCAUUGCUGCUGAGUUCUGACUACCCAAGUUUCCUUCUCUUAAACAGUUGAUAUGCAUAAUUGCAUAUAUUCAUGGUUCUGUGCAAUAAAAAUGGAUUCUCACCCCAUCCCACCUUCUGUGGGAUGUUGCUAACGAGUGCAGAUUAUUCAAUAACAGCUCUUGAACAGUUAAUUUGCACAGUUGCAAUUGUCCAGAGUCCUGUCCAUUAGAAAGGGACUCUGUAUCCUAUUUGCACGCUACAAUGUGGGCUGAUCACCCAAGGACUCUUCUUGUGCAUUGAUGUUCAUAAUUGUAUUUGUCCACGAUCUUGUGCACUAACCCUUCCACUCCCUUUGUAUUCCAGCAGGGGACCCUUACUACUCAAGACCUCUGUACUAGGACAGUUUAUGUGCACAAUCCUAAUUGAUUAGAACUGAGUCUUUUAUAUCAAGGUCCCUGCAUCAUCUUUGCUUUACAUCAAGAGGGUGCUGGUUACCUAAUGCCCCUCCUCCAGAAAUUAUUGAUGUGCAAAAUGCAAUUUCCCUAUCUGCUGUUAGUCUGGGGUCUCAUCCCCUCAUAUUCCUUUUGUCUUACAGCAGGGGGUACUUGGGACUGUUAAUGCGCAUAAUUGCAAUUAUGGUCUUUUCCAUUAAAUUAAGAUCCCAACUGCUCACACCCUCUUAGCAUUACAGUAGAGGGUGCUAAUCACAAGGACAUUUCUUUUGUACUGUUAAUGUGCUACUUGCAUUUGUCCCUCUUCCUGUGCACUAAAGACCCCACUCACUUCCCUAGUGUUCAGCAGUGGAUGACCUCUAGUCAAGACCUUUGCACUAGGAUAGUUAAUGUGAACCAUGGCAACUGAUCACAACAAUGUCUUUCAGAUCAGAUCCAUUUUAUCCUCCUUGUUUUACAGCAAGGGAUAUUAAUUACCUAUGUUACCUUUCCCUGGGACUAUGAAUGUGCAAAAUUCCAAUGUUCAUGGUCUCUCCCUUUAAACCUAUAUUCUACCCCUUUUACAUUAUAGAAAGGGAUGCUGGAAACCCAGAGUCCUUCUCUUGGGACUCUUAAUGUGUAUUUCUAAUUAUCCAUGACUCUUAAUGUGCAUAUUUUCAAUUGCCUAAUUGAUUUCAAUUGUCUAAGACAUUUCAAAUGUCUAAUUGAUUAGAACUGAGUCUUUUAUAUCAAGCUAAUAUCUAGCUUUUAUAUCAAGCUAAUAUCUUGACUUCUCAGCAUCAUAGAAGGGGGUACUGAUUUCCUAAAGUCUUUCUUGAAUUUCUAUUAUGCAAAAUUGCCCUGAGGCCGGGUGUGGUGGCUCACACCUGUAAUCCCAGCACUUUGGGAGGCUGAGGUGGGAAGAUCCCUUACUGCCAGGAGUUUGAGACCAGCCUGGCCAACAUUAAAAAAAAAAAAAAGUAAGACAAUUGCCCUGGAAUCCCAUCCCCCUCACACCUCCUUGGCAAAGCAGCAGGAGUGCUAACUAGCUAGUGCUUCUUCUCUUAUACUGCUUAAAUGCGCAUAAUUAGCAGUAGUUGAUGUGCCCCUAUGUUAGAGUAGAAUCCCGCUUCCUUGCUCCAUUUGCAUUACUGCAGGAGCUUCUAACUAGCCUGAAUUCACUCUCUUGGACUGUUAAUGUGCAUACUUAUAUUUGCUGCUGUACUUUUUUACCAUGUAAGGACCCCACCCACUGUAUUUACAUCCCAGCUGGAAGUACCUACUACUUAAGACCCUUAGACUAGUAAAGUUAGCGUGCAUAAUCUUAGGUGUUAUAUACACAUUUUCAGUUGCAUACAGUUGUGCCUUUUAUCAGGACUCCUGUACUUAUCAAAGCAGAGAGUGCUAAUCAAUAUUAAGCCCUUCUCUUCGAACUGUAGAUGGCAUGUAAUUGCAGUUGUCAAUGGUCCUUCAAUUAGACUUGGGUUUCUGACCUAUCACACCCUCUUUGCUUUAUUGCAUGGGGUACUAUUCACUUAAGGCCCCUUUCUCAAACUGUUAAUGUGCCUAAUGACAAUUACAUCAGUAUCCUUCCUUUUGAAGGACAGCAUGGUUGGUGACACCUAAGGCCCCAUUUCUUGGCCUCCCAAUAUGUGUGAUUGUAUUUGUCGAGGUUGCUAUGCACUAGAGAAGGAAAGUGCUCCCCUCAUCCCCACUUUUCCCUUCCAGCAGGAAGUGCCCACCCCAUAAGACCCUUUUAUUUGGAGAGUCUAGGUGCACAAUUGUAAGUGACCACAAGCAUGCAUCUUGGACAUUUAUGUGCGUAAUCGCACACUGCUCAUUCCAUGUGAAUAAGGUCCUACUCUCCGACCCCUUUUGCAAUACAGAAGGGUUGCUGAUAACGCAGUCCCCUUUUCUUGGCAUGUUGUGUGUGAUUAUAAUCGUCUGGGAUCCUAUGCACUAGAAAAGGAGGGUCCUCUCCACAUACCUCAGUCUCACCUUUCCCUUCCAGCAGGGAGUGCCCACUCCAUAAGACUCUCACAUUUGGACAGUCAAGGUGCGUAAUUGUUAAGUGAACACAACCAUGCACCUUAGACAUGGAUUUGCAUAACUACACACAGCUCAACCUAUCUGAAUAAAAUCCUACUCUCAGACCCCUUUUGCAGUACAGCAGGGGUGCUGAUCACCAAGGCCCUUUUUCCUGGCCUGGUAUGCGUGUGAUUAUGUUUGUCCCGGUUCCUGUGUAUUAGACAUGGAAGCCUCCCCUGCCACACUCCACCCCCAAUCUUCCUUUCCCUUCCGGCAGGGAGUGCCCUCUCCAUAAGACGCUUACGUUUGGACAAUCAAGGUGCACAGUUGUAAGUGACCACAGGCAUACACCUUGGACAUUAAUGUGCAUAACCACUUUGCCCAUUCCAUCUGAAUAAGGUCCUACUCUCAGACCCCUUUUGCAGUACAGCAGGGGUGCUGAUCACCAAGGCCCCUUUUCUUGGCCUGUUAUGUGCGUGAUUAUAUUUGUCUGGGUUCCUGUGUAUUAGACAAGGAAGCCUUCCCCCCGCCCCCACCCCCACUCCCAGUCUUCCUUUCCCUUCCAGCAGGGAGUGCCCCCUCCAUAAGAUCAUUACAUUUGGACAAUCAAGGUGCACAAUUAUAAGUGACCACAGCCAUGCACCUUGGACAUUAUUGGACAUUAAUGUGCGUAACUGCACAUGGCCCAUCCCAUCUGAAUAAGGUCCUACUCUCAGAUGCCCUUUGCAGUACAGCAGGGGUACUGAAUCACCAAGGCCCUUUUUCUUGGCCUGUUAUGUGUGUGAUUAUAUUUAUCCCAGUUUCUGUGUAAUAGACAUGAAAGCCUCCCCUGCCACACCCCACCUCCAAUCUUCCUUUCCCUUCCACCAGGGAGUGUCCACUCCAUAUACCCUUACAUUUGGACAAUCAAGGUGCACAAUUGUAAGUGAGCAUAGGCACUCACCUUGGACAUGAAUGUGCAUAACUGCACAUGGCCCAUCCCAUCUGAAUAAGGUCCUACUCUCAGACCCUUUUUGCAGUACAGCAGGGGUGCUGAUCACCAAGGCCCCUUUUCCUGGCCUGUUAUGUGUGUGAUUAUAUUUGUUCCAGUUCCUGUGUAAUAGACAUGGAAGCCUCCCCUGCCACACUCCACCCCCAAUCUUCCUUUCCCUUCUGGCAGGAAGUACCCGCUCCAUAAGACCCUUACAUUUGGACAGUCAAGGUGCACAAUUGUAUGUGACCACAACCAUGCACCUUGGACAUAAAUGUGUGUAACUGCACAUGGCCCAUCCCAUCUGAAUAAGGUCCUACUCUCAGACCCCUUUUGCAGUACAGUAGGUGUGCUGAUAACCAAGGCCCCUCUUCCUGGCCUGUUAACGUAUGUGAUUAUAUUUGUCUGGGUUCCAGUGUAUAAGACAUGGAAGCCUCCCCUGCCCCACCCCACCCUCAAUCUUCCUUUCCCUUCUGGCAGGGAGUGCCAGCUCCAUAAGAACCUUACAUUUGGACAGUCAAGGUGCACAAUUCUAAGUGACCGCAGCCAUGCACCUUGGUCAAUAAUGUGUGUAACUGCACACGGCCUAUCUCAUCUGAAUAAGGCCUUACUCUCAGACCCCUUUUGCAGUACAGCAGGGGUGCUGAUAACCAAGGCCCAUUUUCCUGGCCUGUUAUGUGUGUGAUUAUAUUUGUCCAGGUUUCUGUGUACUAGACAAGGAAGCCUCCUCUGCCCCAUCCCAUCUACGCAUAAUCUUUCUUUUCCUCCCAGCAGGGAGUGCUCACUCCAUAAGACCCUUACAUUUGGACAAUCAAGGUGCACAAUUGUAAGUGACCACAACCAUGCAUCUUGGAAAUUUAUGUGCAUAACUGCACAUGGCUUAUCCUAUUUGAAUAAAGUCCUACUCUCAGACCCCCUUUGCAGUAUAGCUGGGGUGCUGAUCACUGAGGCCUCUUUGCUUGGCUUGUCUAUAUUCUUGUGUACUAGAUAAGGGCACCUUCUCAUGGACUCCCUUUGCUUUUCAACAAGGAGUACCCACUACUUUUUAAGAUUCUUAUAUUUGUCCAAAGUACAUGGUUUUAAUUGACCACAACAAUGUCCCUUGGACAUUAAUGUAUGUAAUCACCACAUGGUUCAUCCUAAUUAAACAAAGUUCUACCUUCUCACCCUCCAUUUGCAGUAUACCAGGGUUGCUGACCCCCUAAGUCCCCUUUUCUUGGCUUGUUGACAUGCAUAAUUGCAUUUAUGUUGGUUCUUGUGCCCUAGACAAGGAUGCCCCACCUCUUUUCAAUAGUGGGUGCCCACUCCUUAUGAUCUUUACAUUUGAACAGUUAAUGUGAAUAAUUGCAGUUGUCCACAACCCUAUCACUUCUAGGACCAUUAUACCUCUUUUGCAUUACUGUGGGGUAUACUGUUUCCCUCCAAGGCCCCUUCUGGUGGACUAUCAACAUAUAAUUGAAAUUUUCUUUUGUCUUUGUCAGUAGAUUAAGGUCAUACCCCAUCACCUUUCCUUUGUAGUACAACAGGGUGUCCUGAUCAACCAAAGUCCUGUUGUUUUGGACUGUUAAUAUGUGCAAUUACAUUUGCUCCUGAUCUGUGCACUAGAUAAGGAUCCUACCUACUUUCUUAGUGUUUUUAGCAGGUAGUGCCCACUACUCAAGACUGUCACUUGGAAUGUUCAUGUGCACAAACUCAAUUCUCUAAGCAUGUUCCUGUACCACCUUUGCUUUAGAGCAGGGGGAUGAUAUUCACUAAGUGCCCCUUCUUUUGGACUUAAUAUGCAUUAAUGCAAUUGUCCACCUCUUCUUUUAGACUAAGAGUUGAUCUCCACAUAUUCCCCUUGCAUCAGGGGCAUGUUAAUUAUGAAUGAACCCUUUUCUUUUAAUAUUAAUGUCAUAAUUGUAUUUGUGGACCUGUGUAGGAGAAAAAGACCCUAUGUUCCUCCCAUUACCCUUUGGAUUGCUGCUGAGAAGUGUUAACUACUCAUAAUCUCAGCUCUUGGACAAUUAAUAGCAUUAAUAACAAUUAUCAAGGGCACUGAUCAUUAGAUAAGACUCCUGCUUCCUCGUUGCUUACAUCGGGGGUACUGACCCACUAAGGCCCCUUGUACUGUUAAUGUGAAUAUUUGCAAUUAUAUAUGUCUCCUUCUGGUAGAGUGGGAUAUUAUGCCCUAGUAUCCCCUUUGCAUUACUGCAGGGGCUGCUGACUACUCAAAACUUCUCCUGGGACUGUUAAUAGGCACAAUGGCAGUUAUCAAUGGUUUUCUCCCUCCCUGACCUUGUUAAGCAAGCGCCCCACCCCACCCUUAGUUUCCCAUGGCAUAAUAAAGUAUAAGCAUUGGAGUAUUCCAUGCACUUGUCUAUCAAACAGUGGUCCAUACUCCCAACCCUUUUGCAUUGCGCCAGUGUGUAAAAUCACAGGUAGCCAUGGUGUCAUGCUUUAUAUACGAAGUCUUCCCUCUCUCUGCCCCUUGUGUGCCCUUGGCCCCUUUUUACAGACUAUUGCUCACAAUCUCAGGUGUCCAUAUUUGCAGCUAUUAGGUAAGAUUGUGCUGUCUCCCUCUUCCCUUCCCUCUGCCCUGCCCCUUUUGCCUCUUUGCUGGGUAAUGUUGACCAGACAAGGCCCUUUCUCUUGGACUUAAACAAUUCUCAGUUGCACUUUCCUUGGUCCCACCCAUUAUACAUGAACCCCUCUACUUCCUUUCGCAUUGCUUCUGAGUAUGCUGACUACCCAAAGCCCCUUCUGUGUUAUUAAUAAACACAGUACUGAUUGUCCCAUUUUUCAGCCCAUCAGUCCAAGAUCUCCCUACCACUUUGGUGUGUUGGUGCAGUGUUGACUAUGAAAAGCAGGCCUGAACUAGGUGGAUAAGCCUUCACUCAUUUUCUUUCAUUUAUUAAUGAUCCUAGUUUCAAUUAUUGUCAGAUUCUGGGGACAAGAACCAUUCUUGCCCACCUGUGUUACUGCUUUACUGUGCAAAAUACUGAAGGCAAGUCAGACCCAGGGAGCUGGAUUGCCAUCCUUUAUUUUGUGUUUCCAGUGUACACUAUAAAAUUGUCUCCCCAGGAAGGAAGGUUGGCACUUUCUCUGCAUUCUUCUUUCCAGAGCAGAUUGCCUGGUUAAGAAUCUCUUGUUGUCCCCUUUGUAUAUUGUUAUUGUAAAGUGCCAAAUGCCAGGAUACAGCCAGAAAAAUUGCUUAUUAUUAUUAAAAAAAUUUUUUUAAGAAAGACAUCUGGAUUGUAGGGUGGACUCGAUAACCUGGUCAUUAUUUUUUUGAAGCCAAAAUAUCCAUUUAUACUAUGUACCUGGUGACCAGUGUCUCUCAUUUUAACUGAGGGUGGUGGGUCUGUGGAUAGAACACUGACUCUUGCUAUUUUAAUAUCAAAGAUAUUCUAGAGUGGAACUCUUAAGACCAGUAUCUUUGUGUGGGCUUUACCAGCAUUCACUUUUAGAAAAACUACCUAAAUUUUAUAAUCCUUUAAUUUCUUCAUCUGGAGCACCUGCCCCUACUUAUUUCAAGAAGAUUGCAGUAAAACGAUUAAAUGAGGGAACAUAUGCAGAGGUGCUUUUAAAAAGCAUAUGCCACCUUUUUUAUUAAUUAUUAUAUAAAAUGAAGCAUUUAAUUAUAGUAAUAAUUUGAAGUAGUUUGAAGUACCACACUGAGGUGAGGACUUAAAAAUGAUAAGACGAGUUCCCUAUUUUAUAAGAAAAAUAAGCCAAAAUUAAAUAUUCUUUUGGAUAUAAAUUUCAACAGUGAGAUAGCUGCCUAGUGGAAAUGAAUAAUAUCCCAGCCACUAGUGUACAGGGUGUUUUGUGGCACAGGAUUAUGUAAUAUGGAACUGCUCAAGCAAAUAACUAGUCAUCACAACAGCAGUUCUUUGUAAUAACUGAAAAAGAAUAUUGUUUCUCGGAGAAGGAUGUCAAAAGAUCGGCCCAGCUCAGGGAGCAGUUUGCCCUACUAGCUCCUCGGACAGCUGUAAAGAAGAGUCUCUGGCUCUUUAGAAUACUGAUCCCAUUGAAGAUACCACGCUGCAUGUGUCCUUAGUAGUCAUGUCUCCUUAGGCUCCUCUUGAUCUUCCUCAGAAGAAUAGGCUUGUUGUUUUACAGUGUUAGUGAUCCAUUCCCUUUGACGAUCCCUAGGUGGAGAUGGGGCAUGAGGAUCCUCCAGGGGAAAAGCUCACUACCACUGGGCAACAACCCUAGGUCAGGAGGUUCUGUCAAGAUACUUUCCUGGUCCCAGAUAGGAAGAUAAAGUCUCAAAAACAACCACCACACGUCAAGCUCUUCAUUGUUCCUAUCUGCCAAAUCAUUAUACUUCCUACAAGCAGUGCAGAGAGCUGAGUCUUCAGCAGGUCCAAGAAAUUUGAACACACUGAAGGAAGUCAGCCUUCCCACCUGAAGAUCAACAUGCCUGGCACUCUAGCACUUGAGGAUAGCUGAAUGAAUGUGUAUUUCUUUGUCUCUUUCUUUCUUGUCUUUGCUCUUUGUUCUCUAUCUAAAGUGUGUCUUACCCAUUUCCAUGUUUCUCUUGCUAAUUUCUUUCGUGUGUGCCUUUGCCUCAUUUUCUCUUUUUGUUCACAAGAGUGGUCUGUGUCUUGUCUUAGACAUAUCUCUCAUUUUUCAUUUUGUUGCUAUUUCUCUUUGCUCUCCUAGAUGUGGCUCUUCUUUCACGCUUUAUUUCAUGUCUCCUUUUUGGGUCACAUGCUGUGUGCUUUUUGUCCUUUUCUUGUUCUGUCUACCUCUCCUUUCUCUGCCUACCUCUCUUUUCUCUUUGUGAACUGUGAUUAUUUGUUACCCCUUCCCCUUCUCGUUCGUUUUAAAUUUCACCUUUUUUCUGAGUCUGGCCUCCUUUCUGCUGUUUCUACUUUUUAUCUCACAUUUCUCAUUUCUGCAUUUCCUUUCUGCCUCUCUUGGGCUAUUCUCUCUCUCCUCCCCUGCGUGCCUCAGCAUCUCUUGCUGUUUGUGAUUUUCUAUUUCAGUAUUAAUCUCUGUUGGCUUGUAUUUGUUCUCUGCUUCUUCCCUUUCUACUCACCUUUGAGUAUUUCAGCCUCUUCAUGAAUCUAUCUCCCUCUCUUUGAUUUCAUGUAAUCUCUCCUUAAAUAUUUCUUUGCAUAUGUGGGCAAGUGUACGUGUGUGUGUGUCAUGUGUGGCAGAGGGGCUUCCUAACCCCUGCCUGAUAGGUGCAGAACGUCGGCUAUCAGAGCAAGCAUUGUGGAGCGGUUCCUUAUGCCAGGCUGCCAUGUGAGAUGAUCCAAGACCAAAACAAGGCCCUAGACUGCAGUAAAACCCAGAACUCAAGUAGGGCAGAAGGUGGAAGGCUCAUAUGGAUAGAAGGCCCAAAGUAUAAGACAGAUGGUUUGAGACUUGAGACCCGAGGACUAAGAUGGAAAGCCCAUGUUCCAAGAUAGAUAGAAGCCUCAGGCCUGAAACCAACAAAAGCCUCAAGAGCCAAGAAAACAGAGGGUGGCCUGAAUUGGACCGAAGGCCUGAGUUGGAUGGAAGUCUCAAGGCUUGAGUUAGAAGUCUUAAGACCUGGGACAGGACACAUGGAAGGCCUAAGAACUGAGACUUGUGACACAAGGCCAACGACCUAAGAUUAGCCCAGGGUUGUAGCUGGAAGACCUACAACCCAAGGAUGGAAGGCCCCUGUCACAAAGCCUACCUAGAUGGAUAGAGGACCCAAGCGAAAAAGGUAUCUCAAGACUAACGGCCGGAAUCUGGAGGCCCAUGACCCAGAACCCAGGAAGGAUAGAAGCUUGAAGACCUGGGGAAAUCCCAAGAUGAGAACCCUAAACCCUACCUCUUUUCUAUUGUUUACACUUCUUACUCUUAGAUAUUUCCAGUUCUCCUGUUUAUCUUUAAGCCUGAUUCUUUUGAGAUGUACUUUUUGAUGUUGCCGGUUACCUUUAGAUUGACAGUAUUAUGCCUGGGCCAGUCUUGAGCCAGCUUUAAAUCACAGCUUUUACCUAUUUGUUAGGCUAUAGUGUUUUGUAAACUUCUGUUUCUAUUCACAUCUUCUCCACUUGAGAGAGACACCAAAAUCCAGUCAGUAUCUAAUCUGGCUUUUGUUAACUUCCCUCAGGAGCAGACAUUCAUAUAGGUGAUACUGUAUUUCAGUCCUUUCUUUUGACCCCAGAAGCCCUAGACUGAGAAGAUAAAAUGGUCAGGUUGUUGGGGAAAAAAAAGUGCCAGGCUCUCUAGAGAAAAAUGUGAAGAGAUGCUCCAGGCCAAUGAGAAGAAUUAGACAAGAAAUACACAGAUGUGCCAGACUUCUGAGAAGCACCUGCCAGCAACAGCUUCCUUCUUUGAGCUUAGUUUCUGGCAUCACUACCACUACUGAUUAAACAAGAAUAAGAGAACAUUUUAUCAUCAUCUGCUUUAUUCACAUAAAUGAAGUUGUGAUGAAUAAAUCUGCUUUUAUGCAGACACAAGGAAUUAAGUGGCUUCGUCAUUGUCCUUCUACCUCAAAGAUAAUUUAUUCCAAAAGCUAAGAUAAAUGGAAGACUCUUGAACUUGUGAACUGAUGUGAAAUGCAGAAUCUCUUUUGAGUCUUUGCUGUUUGGAAGAUUGAAAAAUAUUGUUCAGCAUGGGUGACCACCAGAAAGUAAUCUUAAGCCAUCUAGAUGUCACAAUUGAAACAAACUGGGGAGUUGGUUGCUAUUGUAAAAUAAAAUAUACUGUUUUGAAAACUUUGUAUUUUGAUGUGACAAUUUCUAACUCACUGUCCCUAA
This 14095-nucleotide long non-coding RNA is filed under the name Homo sapiens (human). RNAcentral's name for it is "PREDICTED lncRNA (TCONS_00275332)". The stretch from base 11441 to 11566 matches the Rfam family "X-chromosome inactivation gene exon 4". Lineage: Eukaryota; Metazoa; Chordata; Mammalia; Primates; Hominidae. The record is from RNAcentral.